RNAcentral lists this ribosomal RNA (253 nucleotides) under uncultured bacterium. RNAcentral's name for it is "partial 16S ribosomal RNA". It matches the Rfam family "Bacterial small subunit ribosomal RNA", at positions 524 to 776 of the family's 1533-position model. The record is from RNAcentral.
UACAGAGGGUGCAAACGUUGCUCGGAAUUAUUGGGCGUAAAGCGCGUGUAGGCGGCUUGUUAAGUCGGUUGUGAAAACCCAUGGCUCAACCAUGGAAGGGCGUCCGAAACUGGCAAGCUAGAGUCCCGACGAGGAUGGCGGAAUUCCCAGUGUAGAGGUGAAAUUCGUAGAUAUUGGGAGGAACACCUGCGGCGAAGGCGGCUACCUGGACAGAAACUGACGCUGAGGCGCGAAAGCUAGGGGAGCAAACAGG